This 486-nucleotide ribosomal RNA is filed under the name uncultured bacterium. Its description in RNAcentral is "partial 16S ribosomal RNA". It matches the Rfam family "Bacterial small subunit ribosomal RNA", at positions 30 to 507 of the family's 1533-position model. The record is from RNAcentral.
AUUGAACGCUGGCGGCAUGCCUUACACAUGCAAGUCGAACGGCAGCACGGGUGCUUGCACCUGGUGGCGAGUGGCGAACGGGUGAGUAAUACAUCGGAACAUGUCCUGUAGUGGGGGAUAGCCCGGCGAAAGCCGGAUUAAUACCGCAUACGAUCUACGGAUGAAAGCGGGGGACCUUCGGGCCUCGCGCUAUAGGGUUGGCCGAUGGCUGAUUAGCUAGUUGGUGGGGUAAAGGCCUACCAAGGCGACGAUCAGUAGCUGGUCUGAGAGGACGACCAGCCACACUGGGACUGAGACACGGCCCAGACUCCUACGGGAGGCAGCCGUGGGGAAUUUUGGACAAUGGGCGAAAGCCUGAUCCAGCAAUGCCGCGUGUGUGAAGAAGGCCUUCGGGUUGUAAAGCACUUUUGUCCGGAAAGAAAUCCUUGGCCCUAAUACGGUCGGGGGAUGACGGUACCGGAAGAAUAAGCACCGGCUAACUACGUG